Long non-coding RNA from Rosa rugosa (rugosa rose), 3030 nucleotides. RefSeq lists it as uncharacterized. The transcript has 10 exons. NCBI's taxonomy places the organism in Eukaryota, Viridiplantae, Streptophyta, Magnoliopsida, Rosales, Rosaceae. The record is from RefSeq and is a predicted model, not a curated record.
UUAGGCCACGAGCUCGGAGCUUCCUUGCUUCUAGAGCCCAAAAAGAAUUUGUUACUUAUUGAUGCGUAACCCAACAAAAACCCUCGCAAAUUGGACUUUUGAGAGGAAAGGAAAGAGACCAAAGAGCAGAGACAGUGAGACAGAGGAACAUGACUCUUUGGGUGGCCGAGAUGGUCUCACCGGUUGGGUCUCCUGUCGCUGACGAGCUCGCCACCUCCCUCAGAACCGGAGAUAUCGGCCCUUUCAAUGUCGGCUGAUAUUCCCCGAUCACUCCCUUCCUUAUGGUGGAGCCGAGCCGAUUGUCACAAUUACGAUUCGGCCCUUCGCCCUGAACAUAUGCGUAUGAGUCUAAGGUUUUGCGUCUGGAAGCCUCUAUCGACACCGACAGAAGCCUGAGGUUAGAUAGAGGUUUUGCAUCUGGAAGCCUUUAUCUAGCUUCAGUUAAUUUGAUUAUGAUGCAGCCCAUUUCAAGUUUUUGUUUUGCAGUUUUCUAAGGUUGAAUUGCUCCCAAAAGGCUUGGAGAUCGGGUUUCUUUCACAGAAGGGAAAUUGAUUCCCUUCUUCAAAACAACUGAAAUCUAAGGAAAUGCUUGAAUAUUUUAACAUAGCUGUUUAUUCUCACUGAAUUCAGAAGAAGAGGCAGAGAAUAGAAAGAAGCAAUCUGAUACAGUGCUUGACAGUCAAUCUAUAAGUGGCAGAGGGGCUCAAAUGCCUGUGGGUCGAGAUGUUCAGUCUUUUCGAGCUUUUGUGGCAACCUGGAAUGUAGGAGGGAAAUCUCCCCAUAGUGGCCUUAAUCUGGACGAUACUUCAGGUUAAUAAUCCAUCAAACAUAUCUGUCUUGGGCUGAUUUCGAUAAGAUUGGACAAGGUGGUUUUGGGGUUGUUUACUAUGCCAAGCUGACAAGCGAGGAUGAUACUAAAAUGGUGACAGUUUCUGGUGAUCAAACUGUUAAGGUAUGGGGUAUCAGGACCAAAGAGUUGUUGGUCUAGCGGUCAGGCCCUUGGUUUGCUCCCAAGUGGUCUGGGGUUCGAUCCUCUCCCAAGAUUCUGUAUGCAAGCAGGUCUGCCAUUACCCUGAUCCUGUAACAAGGUAAACAAAAUCUAUUGACCUAUUGCAAGAUGGAAAAGAUCAUUUGGUUAAAGCUUUCAUUUCAAAACCACAUUAUUUUGAAUCUCUAAUAUAGUUUGGGUCACUAUUUACCUUAGUGAAAGUGCAUGGGUCAGUAUUCUAUGGGGACUUAGAUAACAAAAAGCUUUAUUAAUUAGCUAUUUCUUAUUCCACUUUAUGCUAUUCUGAUUUGCGCAAAUUUUUAAGUUUUAAUGAAUUCUGUAGUUACUAUACUAGAGAAGCAUAGAGCUUGAAGAAUGGUUUGGGUUGUUUUACUUGGGACUUUUAGACGUUUUUGUCAUGUCAAUUGAGGCUCCUUACUACAUUUGAAAAAAAGAUGAAGAUCCUCCCCUUUCGACAUAAGUUCAAUAUAAAUUUCAUUUGCUUCUCUUUCUAAAUCUGUUUGUUCUUUUCUUUUCAGUUUUAACAUUGCACCAGACCUGAUGAAUCAAGCAAAAGAUUAUUUGAACAAAACUAUAUUUGUUAUAUUGUUGGCUAGAGUGAGUGUUUUAGAAUUUAAAAAAAAAAAAUGUAUCUUCUAAUGUUCCAAUUAUGUUUAUUCGACCCAAAAGUUGUGGUUGCACAGUUGUGUGCAGUCCCGCUUUAAGCUUGCAUAUCCUUUGAAUGCCGAUUUAGGAUGACCUGCUUUUGGAGUGUUGAAUCAUAUGAUUCUGUGUUCGUCCUAUCUCUGUUUCUUUGUUUGUACAUUUUGAAUGAGAACCUCUCCUAUCUGCUGCAAAGGAGAUAAUGUGUGCUGCACAUUGAUUUGCGAUAGUAAUUACAAGGAAUUUCUAAUCUGGAGAUCUUUAAAUUGAAUGAGAUCUUCAAAAGUGAAGCAUUACUUUUGGCAACAAAUAUUGGUCAAGAAAAGUUAACAUUAGAUUAGAAGUGCUACGGCAAGCAAACAAACCCGCAGCAUGUCGCGGGCUAUACUGCUAGUGUUUAUAUGAAAGCUGGAAAUGAGGACAAGGCUCUGGCAAUGCUAAAGAAGUCUGAGGAGCUGAUACCAAGUUCCGAAAGACAGAGGGAAGCAUACGAUCACUUAUGCCACAAUAUGCAGCACUAGGGAAGAAAGAUAAUGUUAUGAGACUAUGGAAACUUUACAAGGGUCAGAUGAAAGUAUACAGUAAGGGUUAUAGAAUCAUGAUAACCUCACUCUUGAAGAUGGGCGACAGUGAGAGUGCCGAGAAGAUCUUUGAAGAGUGGGAAUCUCAGCAGUCAGUUUAUGAUGUUCGUAUCCCACAUCAUUUGAUUGCUGCUUAUUCCUGAAAAGGUCUUCUUGACAAGGCUGAAGCUAUUAUUGCAAGGGUUAUACUGAAGGGUGCGAGACCUGAUGCAAAGUCAUGGUAUUCUUUGGCAAAAGUGCAUCCUGAUCAUGAUCAAACUGAAUAGGGAGUUGAGUUGACGAGAAAAGCCCUUUUGGCUGUGCAGCCUGGUUGGAAGACCAACAAGGAUGUUUUGGCUGCCUGUCUCAACUACUUGAUAGAAAGCUCCUCACCGAUAAGAAUAUUAUCACCGUGAUUACACAGGCGAGACUGUUGAAUAAGAUAAAUAAGGCGGAUUCGAACUCUGUAACACCAGGUGAAAUGGAAGGGGAUGGUCGAAAUGGAGAUGAAGAGGCAAGUGAGGUUUCAGAAGUGGAGGGGAGUCGACAAUGAAGUGUACUGCAACAUUGAGGAUUAAAUGGAUUUUCUGUUAAUAUAAACAGGUAACAGUUGAUGCCAAAUAACCUCAGUGAAGUUUAAUAGCCAUUGUAUUGAAUUACGCCCACUAGAGUUGCUUAGUUGUGAUAACUGUCAGCAAUGUAGUGUGUAUAUAAAAUCAUUUGUUUGUACAUAUGUCAAGUGCUUUUGCUACUCAUUUCAUCGAGUCAGAAGAAGAGUAAAAUGGAUAUGAAAGGCUAAGAAGUCCUGAUGUUGGUCCU